GACGAACGCUGGCGGCGUGCUUAACACAUGCAAGUCGAGCGGUAAGGCCCUUUCGGGGGUACACGAGCGGCGAACGGGUGAGUAACACGUGGGUGACCUGCCCUUAGCUCUGGGAUAAGCCUGGGAAACUGGGUCUAAUACCGGAUAUGACUCCAUGACGCAUGUUGUGGGGUGGAAAGCCUUGUGCGGCUAGGGAUGGGCCCGCGGCCUAUCAGCUUGUUGGUGGGGUGAUGGCCUACCAAGGCGACGACGGGUAGCCGGCCUGAGAGGGCGACCGGCCACACUGGGACUGAGACACGGCCCAGACUCCUACGGGAGGCAGCAGUGGGGAAUCUUGCGCAAUGGGCGAAAGCCUGACGCA
Molecule: ribosomal RNA, 361 nt
Filed under: uncultured bacterium
Lineage: Bacteria
Description: bacterial SSU rRNA
Rfam family: Bacterial small subunit ribosomal RNA
Source: RNAcentral